GACGAACGCUGGCGGCGUGCCUAAUACAUGCAAGUAGAACGCUGAAGGAGGAGCUUGCUUCUCUGGAUGAGUUGCGAACGGGUGAGUAACGCGUAGGUAACCUGCCUGGUAGCGGGGGAUAACUAUUGGAAACGAUAGCUAAUACCGCAUAAGAGUAGAUGUUGCAUGACAUUUGCUUAAAAGGUGCAAUUGCAUCACUACCAGAUGGACCUGCGUUGUAUUAGCUAGUUGGUGGGGUAACGGCUCACCAAGGCGACGAUACAUAGCCGACCUGAGAGGGUGAUCGGCCACACUGGGACUGAGACACGGCCCAGACUCCUACGGGAGGCAGCAGUAGGGAAUCUUCGGCAAUGGACGGAAGUCUGACCGAGCAACGCCGCGUGAGUGAAGAAGGUUUUCGGAUCGUAAAGCUCUGUUGUAAGAGAAGAACGAGUGUGAGAGUGGAAAGUUCACACCGUGACGGUAUCUUACCAGAAAGGGACGGCUAACUACGUG
Molecule: ribosomal RNA, 495 nt
Filed under: uncultured bacterium
Lineage: Bacteria
Description: partial 16S ribosomal RNA
Rfam family: Bacterial small subunit ribosomal RNA
Source: RNAcentral